GAAGACAUGUAGGUGUAUUGGGGGUAGACCAGUUCAGUACCUUAUCAGCUCAGGUUGUUGCAUUACAAAACAUGAUUAACACUCAGUUUAGUAGCCCAAAAUUUGGAGCUCCACAGCCUACAGAAGUAGUCAAUGUAGUUCAGUAAACUAGUGGUUGAUAGGAGAUCUGUAGAAAUAGUGGCUAUUCAGCUACCAUAUGUGCUUCAAAUUCGAAAUUAGUGAUGUACAUAGGCAAUGCUCAAAGGCCAAAUUAUGGUAAUUCCUACAAUAUGAAAUGGUAGACUCAGCCAUGGAAC
This 296-nucleotide long non-coding RNA is filed under the name Capsicum annuum. RNAcentral describes it as "long non-coding RNA (CANN_LNC017538)". Lineage: Eukaryota; Viridiplantae; Streptophyta; Magnoliopsida; Solanales; Solanaceae. The record is from RNAcentral.